CCUACGGGAGGCAGCAGUGAGGAAUAUUGGUCAAUGGGCGGGAGCCUGAACCAGCCAAGUCGCGUGAGGGAAGACGGUCCUAUGGAUUGUAAACCUCUUUUGUCGGGGAGCAAUGCCGGGCACGUGUGCCCGGAGGGAGAGUACCCGCAGAAUAAGCAUCGACUAACCCCGUGCCAGCAGCCGCGGUAAUACGGAGGAUGCGAGCGUUAUCCGGAUUUAUGGGGUUUAAAGGGUGCGUAGGCGGAUUUUUAAGUCAGCGGUAAAAUGUCGGGGCUCAACCCGGGCCGGCCGUUGAAACUGGGGAUCUUGAGUGGGCGAGAAGUAUGCGGAAUGCGUGGUGUAGCGGUGAAAUGCAUAGAUAUCACGCAGAACUCCGAUUGCGAAGGCAGCAUACCGGCGCCCGACUGACGCUGAGGCACGAAAGCGUGGGGAUCGAACAGGAUUAGAUACCCCUGUAGUC
Molecule: ribosomal RNA, 460 nt
Filed under: uncultured bacterium
Lineage: Bacteria
Description: partial 16S ribosomal RNA
Rfam family: Bacterial small subunit ribosomal RNA
Source: RNAcentral